GACGAACGCUGGCGGCGUGCUUAACACAUGCAAGUCGAACGGAAAGACCCUGCUUUUGUGGGGUGCUCGAGUGGCGAACGGGUGAGUAACACGUGAGUAACCUGCCCUUGACUUUGGGAUAACUUCAGGAAACUGGGGCUAAUACCGGAUAGGAGCUCCUGCUGCAUGGUGGGGGUUGGAAAGUUUCGGCGGUUGGGGAUGGACUCGCGGCUUAUCAGCUUGUUGGUGGGGUAGUGGCUUACCAAGGCAUUGACGGGUAGCCGGCCUGAGAGGGUGACCGGCCACAUUGGGACUGAGAUACGGCCCAGACUCCUACGGGAGGCAGCAGUGGGGAAUAUUGUCCAAUGGGCGGAAGCCUGAUGCAGAAACGCCGCGGGCGGGAUGACGGCCUUCGGGUUGUAAACCGCUGUCGCCUGUGACGAAGCGUGAGUGACGGUAAUGGGUAAAGAAGCACCGGCUAACUACGUG
RNAcentral lists this ribosomal RNA (468 nucleotides) under uncultured bacterium. RNAcentral's name for it is "partial 16S ribosomal RNA". It matches the Rfam family "Bacterial small subunit ribosomal RNA", at positions 28 to 507 of the family's 1533-position model. The record is from RNAcentral.